This 354-nucleotide unclassified non-coding RNA is filed under the name soil metagenome. RNAcentral describes it as "partial contains 5.8S ribosomal RNA, internal transcribed spacer 2, and large subunit ribosomal RNA". The stretch from base 2 to 119 matches the Rfam family "5.8S ribosomal RNA", at positions 37 to 154 of the family's 154-position model. The record is from RNAcentral.
GUGAAGAACGCAGUGAAAUGCGAUAAGUAAUGUGAAUUGCAGAAUUCAGUGAAUCAUCGAAUCUUUGAACGCACAUUGCGCCCGCCAGUAUUCUGGCGGGCAUGCCUGUCCGAGCGUCAUUUCAACCCUCGAACCCCUCCGGGGGGUCGGCGUUGGGGAUCGGCCCUGCCUCUUGGCGGUGGCCGUCUCCGAAAUACAGUGGCGGUCUCGCCGCAGCCUCUCCUGCGCAGUAGUUUGCACACUCGCAUCGGGAGCGCGGCGCGUCCACAGCCGUUAAACACCCAACUUCUGAAAUGUUGACCUCGGAUCAGGUAGGAAUACCCGCUGAACUUAAGCAUAUCAAUAAGCGGAGGA